Molecule: RNA transcript, 1345 nt
Organism: Sapajus apella (tufted capuchin)
Lineage: Eukaryota; Metazoa; Chordata; Mammalia; Primates; Cebidae
Gene name: actin, cytoplasmic 2-like
Exons: 1
Source: RefSeq, a predicted model, not a curated record
AUGGAAGAAGAGAUCACUGCGCUCAUCAUUGACAAUGGCUCUGGCAGGUGCAAAGCUGGCUUUGCUGGGGACGAUGUUCCCUUCCAUCGUUGGGCGCCCCAGGCACCAGGUCACGAUGGUGAGCAUGGAUGGGUCAGAAUGACUCCUACAUGGGUGAUGAGGCCCAGAGCAAGUGCAGCAUCCUGACCCUGAAGUAUUCCAUUGAGCAGGGCAUGGUCAUCGACUGUGACAACAUGGAGAAGAUCUGGCACCACACCUUCUACAACGAGCUGUGUGUGGCUCCGAGGAGCAUCCGGUGCUGCUGACUGAAGCCCCCCUGAACCCCAAGACCAGCAGAGAAAAGAUGACUUAUAUCAUGUUUGAGAACUUCAACACCCCAGCCAUGUGUGUGGCCAUCCACACCUUGCUGUCCCUCUAGUCCUCUGAUUGCACCAGUGGUGUUGUCACGGACUCUGGAGACAGGGUCGCCCACACGGUGCCCAUCUGCCCUGACCAACUACCUCAUGAAGAUCCUCACCGAGUAUGGCUACAGCUUCACCCCCACAGCUGAGUGGGAGAUUGUGGGCGACAUCAAGGAGAAGCUGUGCUAUAUUACCCUGGACUUUGUGCAGGAGGUGGCCACCACCGCAUCCUCUUUGUCCCCAGAGAAGAGCUAUGUGCCGCCCGACAGCAGGUCAUCAUCAUCAGCAAUGAGUGGGUCUGGUGUCCAGAGGCAAUGUUCCAGCCUUCUUUCCUGGCCACCAAACUGUGCAGAACCCACAAAACCACCUUCAGCUCUAUUGUGAAGUGUGAUGUGGAUUUACAAAUACCUGUAGUCCAAGACGGUGCUGUCCUGCAGCACCAGCGUGUACCCAGAUAUCACGGACAGGAUGUAGAUCACUGCCCUGGCGCCCAGCAUCAUGAAGAUCAGGAUCAUCACACUCCCUGAGCACAUGUAAACGGUGUGGAUUGGCGGCUCCAACCCGGCCUCAUUGUCUACCUUCCAGAAGAUGUGGAUUAGCAGGCAGGUGUACAAGGAGUCGAGCCCCUCCACCGUCCACUGCAAAUGCUUCUAAAUUGACUGCAAGCAGAUGUCUAGCAUUUACUGCAUGGGUUAAUUCAGAAGAAUAAAUUUCCCCCUGGCAAAUGCAUAUACCCCAUGCUAGCCUCAUGAAACUUGAAUAAACCUUCAAAAAGAAAUUCGUCCUUGAAGCUUGUAUCUGAUACCAACACUGGACUGUAGAACUUAUUGAUGAUUUUGACCUUAUAUGCAAGUUAACUGUUCCCCUGGUACUUGUUUAAUACCCUGUACAUAUCUUUGAUUUCAACCCUUAGUACAUGUGGCUUGGUCACUUCGUGGCUGAGG